UAAGACAGAGGGUGCAAACGUUGCUCGGAAUCACUGGGCGUAAAGCGCAUGUAGGCGGGUUGGUAAGCCAGAUGUGAAAUCCCUAAGCUCAACUUAGGAACUGCAUUUGGAACUGCCAGUCUUGAGUAGUGGAGAGGAAAGUGGAAUUCCUGGUGUAGAGGUGAAAUUCGUAGAUAUCAGGAGGAACACCGGUGGCGAAGGCGGCUUUCUGGACACUAACUGACGCUGAGAUGCGAAAGCGUGGGGAGCAAACAGG
This 256-nucleotide ribosomal RNA is filed under the name uncultured bacterium. RNAcentral describes it as "partial 16S ribosomal RNA". It matches the Rfam family "Bacterial small subunit ribosomal RNA", at positions 521 to 776 of the family's 1533-position model. The record is from RNAcentral.